RNAcentral lists this ribosomal RNA (253 nucleotides) under uncultured bacterium. RNAcentral's name for it is "partial 16S ribosomal RNA". It matches the Rfam family "Bacterial small subunit ribosomal RNA", at positions 524 to 776 of the family's 1533-position model. The record is from RNAcentral.
UACGGGGGGGGCAAGCGUUGUUCGGAAUUACUGGGCGUAAAGGGCUCGUAGGUGGCCAACUAAGUCAAUCGUGAAAUCCCUCGGCUUAACCGGGGAACUGCGUCUGAUACUGGAUGGCUUGAGUGUGGGAGAGGGAUGCGGAAUUCCAGGUGUAGCGGUGAAAUGCGUAGAUAUCUGGAGGAACACCGGUGGCGAAGGCGGCAUCCUGGACCAUUACUGACACUGAAAAGCGAAAGCCAGGGGAGCAAACGGG